Molecule: ribosomal RNA, 513 nt
Filed under: uncultured bacterium
Lineage: Bacteria
Description: bacterial SSU rRNA
Rfam family: Bacterial small subunit ribosomal RNA
Source: RNAcentral
UAGUCUACGCCGUAAACGAUGGAUACUAGUUGUUUGGCCUUCGGGCUGAGUGACUAAGCGAAAGUGAUAAGUAUCCCACCUGGGGAGUACGUUCGCAAGAAUGAAACUCAAAGGAAUUGACGGGGGCCCGCACAAGCGGUGGAGCAUGUGGUUUAAUUCGAUGAUACGCGAGGAACCUUACCAGGGCUUAAAUGUAGUCUGACAGCUUUAGAGAUAGAGUUUUCUUCGGACAGAUUACAAGGUGCUGCGUGGUUGUCGUCAGCUCGUGCCGUGAGGUGUCGGGUUAAGUCCCAUAACGGGCGCAACCCCUAUUCUUAGUUGCCAGCGAGUAAUGUCGGGGACUCUAGGAAAACUGCCAGUGUAAGCUGUGAGGAAGGUGGGGAUGACGUCAAAUCAUCACGGCCCUUACGUCCUGGGCUACACACGUGCUACAAUGGUUGGUACAGAGGGCAGCUACCCAGUGAUGGGAUGCGAAUCUCUAAAGCCAGCCCUAGUUCGGAUUGAAGUCUGCAA